Molecule: ribosomal RNA, 428 nt
Filed under: uncultured bacterium
Lineage: Bacteria
Description: partial 16S ribosomal RNA
Rfam family: Bacterial small subunit ribosomal RNA
Source: RNAcentral
GUGGGGAAUAUUGGUCAAUGGGGGAAACCCUGAACCAGCAACGCCGCGUGAAGGAAGAAGGCUUUCGGGUUGUAAACUUCUUUGACAGGGGACGAAAGCAAUGACGGUACCCUGAAAACAAGCCACGGCUAACUACGUGCCAGCAGCCGCGGUAAUACGUAGGUGGCGAGCGUUGUCCGGAUUUACUGGGUGUAAAGGGCGUGUAGGCGGGGCGGUAAGUCAGAUGUGAAAUGUAGGGGCUCAACCACUGAAUUGCAUUUGAAACUAUCGUUCUUGAGUGAUGGAGAGGCAGGCGGAAUUCCGUGUGUAGCGGUGAAAUGCGUAGAUAUACGGAGGAACACCAGUGGCGAAGGCGGCCUGCUGGACAUUAACUGACGCUGAGGCGCGAAAGCGUGGGGAGCAAACAGGAUUAGAAACCCGGGUAGUCC